This 476-nucleotide ribosomal RNA is filed under the name uncultured bacterium. RNAcentral describes it as "SSU rRNA". It matches the Rfam family "Bacterial small subunit ribosomal RNA", at positions 26 to 521 of the family's 1533-position model. The record is from RNAcentral.
AGGAUGAACGCUGGCGGCGUGCCUAACACAUGCAAGUCGAACGUCCUGUCUCGCAAGAGGCAGGGAGUGGCGGACGGGUGAGUACCACGUGGGUCAUCUACCGUGAGGUGAGGAAUACCGGCGAGAAAUCGCCGACAAGACCGCAUAGCCUCGGUGCAAGCCGAGGAAAGCUCUCUCGAGAGAGGGAGCGCCACACGAGGAGCCUGCGCCCGAUUAGCUAGCUGGUGGAGUAACGGUUCACCAGGGCGACGAUCGGUAGCUGGUCUGAGAGGACGAUCAGCCACACUGGGAUUGAGAACGGCCCAGACUCCUACGGGGGGCAGCAGUGAGGAAUUUUCGUCAAUGGGGCAACCCUGAACGAGCAACGCCGCGUGCAGGAAGAAGGUUUUCGGAUCGUAAACUGCUUUUCGUCGGGGAAGAGAACGGACGGUACCCGAGGAAUCAGCCCCGGCUAACUACGUGCCAGCAGCCGCGGU